UGAGUACGGCGGAACACGUGAAAUUCCGUCGGAAUCCGGGAGGACCAUCUCCCAAGGCUAAAUACUCCCUAGUGACCGAUAGUGAACCAGUACCGUGAGGGAAAGGUGAAAAGCACCCCGGAAGGGGAGUGAAACAGUUCCUGAAACCGUGUGCCUACAAGUAGUUAGAGCCCGUUAAUGGGUGAUAGCGUGCCUUUUGUAGAAUGAACCGGCGAGUUACGAUUUGUUGCAAGGUUAAGCGGAAAAAGCGGAGCCGUAGCGAAAGCGAGUCUGAAUAGGGCGCAUAAGUAACAGGUCGUAGACCCGAAACCAGGUGAUCUACCCAUGUCCAGGAUGAAGGUAAGGUAAUACUUACUGGAGGUCCGAACCCACGCACGUUGAAAAGUGCGGGGAUGAGGUGUGGGUAGCGGAGAAAUUCCAAUCGAACUUGGAGAUAGCUGGUUCUCUCCGAAAUAGCUUUAGGGCUAGCCUCGAGGUAAAGAGUCAUGGAGGUAGAGCACUGUUUGGACUAGGGGCCCUUCUCGGGUUACCGAAUUCAGAUAAACUCCGAAUGCCAUGUACUUAUACUCGGGAGUCAGACUGCGAGUGAUAAGAUCCGUAGUCGAAAGGGAAACAGCCCAGACCACCAGUUAAGGUCCCCAAAUAUAUGUUAAGUGGAAAAGGAUGUGGGGUUGCUUAGACAACCAGGAUGUUGGCUUAGAAGCAGCCACCAUUGAAAGAGUGCGUAAUAGCUCACUGGUCGAGUGACCCCGCGCCGAAAAUGUACCGGGGCUAAACAUAUUACCGAAACUGUGGAUGAACCUCUUUAGAGGUUCGUGGUAGGAGAGCGUUCUAAGGGCGGUGAAGUCAGACCGGAAGGACUGGUGGAGCGCUUAGAAGUGAGAAUGCCGGUAUGAGUAGCGAAAGAAGGGUGAGAAUCCCUUCCACCGAAUAUCUAAGGUUUCCUGAGGAAGGCUCGUCCGCUCAGGGUUAGUCGGGACCUAAGCCGAGGCCGAUAGGCGUAGGCGAUGGACAACAGGUAGAGAUUCCUGUACCAGUGCUAAUUGUUUAACCGAUGGGGUGACACAGAAGGAUAGGGAAUCGCACGAAUGGAAAUGUGCGUCCAAGCAGUGAGUGUGA
Molecule: ribosomal RNA, 1119 nt
Filed under: Listeria innocua
Lineage: Bacteria; Bacillati; Bacillota; Bacilli; Caryophanales; Listeriaceae
Description: partial 23S ribosomal RNA
Rfam family: Bacterial large subunit ribosomal RNA
Source: RNAcentral